RNAcentral lists this transfer RNA (75 nucleotides) under Kluyveromyces marxianus DMKU3-1042. RNAcentral describes it as "tRNA-Cys (CGU)". It matches the Rfam family "tRNA". From Rfam's summary of the family: Transfer RNA (tRNA) molecules are approximately 80 nucleotides in length. The record is from RNAcentral. Lineage: Eukaryota; Fungi; Ascomycota; Saccharomycetes; Saccharomycetales; Saccharomycetaceae.
AGGAAAUGUUGUUUAAAGGUUAAACUGUUAGAUUGCAAAUCUAUACAUUUAGAGUUCGAUUCUCUACAUUUCUUU